RNAcentral lists this ribosomal RNA (824 nucleotides) under marine metagenome. Its description in RNAcentral is "bacterial SSU rRNA". It matches the Rfam family "Bacterial small subunit ribosomal RNA", at positions 53 to 881 of the family's 1533-position model. The record is from RNAcentral.
GCAUGCAAGUCGAGCGAUGCUUUUCAGUAGUUUACUACAGAAAAUGACUGAGCGGCGAACGGGUGAGUAACGCGUGAGCAACCUACCUUAGUUACUGGGAUAGCCCGAGGAAACUCGGAUUAAUACCGGAUAUUCUUAUUUAAUCACAUGAUUUUUUAAGGAAAGGUCAGCCGAACUAAGAUGGGCUCGCGUUCUAUCAGCUAGUUGGUAGGGUAAUGGCCUACCAAGGCUACGACGGAUAGCUGGUCUGAGAGGACGAUCAGCCACACUGGGACUGAGACACGGCCCAGACUCCUACGGGAGGCUGCAGCAGGGAAUAUUGCGCAAUGAGCGAAAGCUUGACGCAGCGACACCGCGUGUGGGAUGACGGAUCUAGGUUUGUAAACCACUUUCAGGAGGGAAGUAAAUGACGGUACCUCCACAAGAAGCCCCGGCCAACUACGUGCCAGCAGCCGCGGUAAUACGUAGGGGGCGAGCGUUGUCCGGAUUUAUUGGGCGUAAAGAGCUCGUAGGCGGUUCAACAAGUCGGUCGUGAAAGUUCAGGGCUCAACCCUGAAAUGUCGAUCGAUACUGUUGUGACUAGGAUACGGUAGAGGUGAGUGGAAUUCCGAGUGUAGCGGUGAAAUGCGUAGAUAUUCGGAGGAACACCAAUUGCGAAGGCAGCUCACUGGGCCGCUAUCGACGCUGAGGAGCGAAAGCUAGGGGAGCAAACAGGAUUAGAUACCCUGGUAGUCCUAGCUGUAAACGAUGGAUACUAGACGUAGGAAUUGGAUUAACGAUUUCUGUGUCGUAGCUAACGCGUUAAGUAUCCCGCCUGGGGGAGU